Molecule: ribosomal RNA, 222 nt
Filed under: Pseudomonas aeruginosa
Lineage: Bacteria; Pseudomonadati; Pseudomonadota; Gammaproteobacteria; Pseudomonadales; Pseudomonadaceae
Description: partial 16S ribosomal RNA
Rfam family: Bacterial small subunit ribosomal RNA
Source: RNAcentral
UAACUCCGUGCCAGCAGCCGCGGUAAUACGGAGGGUGCAAGCGUUAAUCGGAAUUACUGGGCGUAAAGCGCACGCAGGCGGUUGAUUGAGUCAGAUGUGAAAUCCCCGGGCUUAACCCGGGAAUUGCAUCUGAUACUGGUCAGCUAGAGUCUUGUAGAGGGGGGUAGAAUUCCAUGUGUAGCGGUGAAAUGCGUANAGAUGUGGAGGAAUACCGGUGGCGAA